Molecule: non-coding RNA, 79 nt
Organism: Podarcis lilfordi (Lilford's wall lizard)
Lineage: Eukaryota; Metazoa; Chordata; Lepidosauria; Squamata; Lacertidae
Source: the annotation of a GenBank genome assembly
GCUUCGAAGACUCUGUCUCAGUCGGUAGAGUUUGAGACUUUCAAUCUCAGGGUUGUGAGUUUGAGCCCCAUGUUGGGCA